Molecule: regulatory RNA element, 46 nt
Organism: Cavia porcellus (domestic guinea pig)
Lineage: Eukaryota; Metazoa; Chordata; Mammalia; Rodentia; Caviidae
Rfam family: Histone 3' UTR stem-loop
About the family: The mRNAs of metazoan histone genes lack a poly-A tail. 3' end processing occurs at a site between a highly conserved stem-loop (modelled by this family) and a purine rich region around 20 nts downstream (the histone downstream element, or HDE).
Source: Rfam
UUAAAGGCUCUUUUCAGAGCCACCUACGUUUCCAAAAGAGCAGCUG